Molecule: ribosomal RNA, 116 nt
Filed under: Fusarium torulosum
Lineage: Eukaryota; Fungi; Ascomycota; Sordariomycetes; Hypocreales; Nectriaceae
Also listed under: 1 other name
Source: RNAcentral
ACGACCAAAGAUAGUGGAAAAUACGGGAUCCCGUCCGCUCUCCCAUAGUCAAGCCACUAAUCGGCGGAUUAGUAGUUGGGUCGGUGACGACCAGCGAAUCCCCGCUGUUGUAUGUU